GACGAACGCUGGCGGCGUGCUUAACACAUGCAAGUCGAACGGAAAGGCCCUGCUUUGGUGGGGUGCUCGAGUGGCGAACGGGUGAGUAACACGUGAGUAACCUGCCCUUGACUUUGGGAUAACUUCAGGAAACUGGGGCUAAUACCGGAUAGGAGCUCCUGCUGCAUGGUGGGGGUUGGAAAGUUUCGGCGGUUGGGGAUGGACUCGCGGCCUAUCAGCUUGUUGGUGGGGUAGUGGCUUACCAAGGCUUUGACGGGUAGCCGGCCUGCGAGGGUGACCGGCCACAUUGGGACUGAGAUACGGCACAGACUCCUACGGGAGGCAGCAGUGGGGAAUAUUGCACAAUGGGCGGAAGCCUGAUGCAGCAACGCCGCGUGCGGGAUGACGGCCUUCGGGUUGUAAACCGCUUUCGCCUGUGACGAAGCGUGAGUGACGGUAAUGGGUAAAGAAGCACCGGCUAACUACGUG
RNAcentral lists this ribosomal RNA (468 nucleotides) under uncultured bacterium. Its description in RNAcentral is "partial 16S ribosomal RNA". It matches the Rfam family "Bacterial small subunit ribosomal RNA", at positions 28 to 507 of the family's 1533-position model. The record is from RNAcentral.